GGGUCACUAACUCAAUGGUAGAGUACUCGGCUUUUAACUGAUAAGUUCUGGGUUCGAUUCCCAGGUGACCCA
Molecule: transfer RNA, 72 nt
Filed under: Synura petersenii
Lineage: Eukaryota; Synurophyceae; Synurales; Mallomonadaceae
Description: tRNA-Lys
Rfam family: tRNA
About the family: Transfer RNA (tRNA) molecules are approximately 80 nucleotides in length. Their secondary structure includes four short double-helical elements and three loops (D, anti-codon, and T loops).
Source: RNAcentral